Molecule: ribosomal RNA, 440 nt
Filed under: uncultured bacterium
Lineage: Bacteria
Description: bacterial SSU rRNA
Rfam family: Bacterial small subunit ribosomal RNA
Source: RNAcentral
AUUGAACGCUGGCGGCAUGCCUUACACAUGCAAGUCGAACGGUAGAAGGAGCAAUCCUUCGAGAGUGGCGAACGGGUGAGUAAUACAUCGGAACGUACCUGGUAGUGGGGGAUAGCCCGGCGAAAGCCGGAUUAAUACCGCAUAAGACCUGAGGGUGAAAGCGGGGGACCGUAAGGCCUCGCGCUACCGGAGCGGCCGAUGUCAGAUUAGCUAGUUGGUGGGGUAAAAGCCUACCAAGGCGACGAUCUGUAGCUGGUCUGAGAGGACGACCAGCCACACUGGGACUGAGACACGGCCCAGACUCCUACGGGAGGCAGCAGUGGGGAAUUUUGGACAAUGGGCGCAAGCCUGAUCCAGCCAUGCCGCGUGCGGGAAGAAGGCCUCGGUUGUAACGACUUUGUCGGGUAGGAAGUACUACUGGACGUAAUACUACUGGGUGG